GAUGAACGCUGGCGGCGUGCCUAAUACAUGCAAGUCGAACGCACAGCGAAAGGUGCUUGCACCUUUCAAGUGAGUGGCGAACGGGUGAGUAACACGUGGACAACCUGCCUCAAGGCUGGGGAUAACAUUUGGAAACAGAUGCUAAUACCGAAUAAAACUCAGUGUCGCAUGACACAAAGUUAAAAGGCGCUUUGGCGUCACCUAGAGAUGGAUCCGCGGUGCAUUAGCUAGUUGGUGAGGUAACGGCUCACCAAGGCAACGAUGCAUAGCCGACCUGAGAGGGUGAUCGGCCACAUUGGGACUGAGACACGGCCCAAACUCCUACGGGAGGCUGCAGUAGGGAAUCUUCCACAAUGGGCGAAAGCCUGAUGGAGCAACGCCGCGUGUGUGAUGAAGGCUUUCGGGUCGUAAAGCACUGUUGUAUGGGAAGAACAGCUAGAAUAGGAAAUGAUUUUAGUUUGACGGUACCAUACCAGAAAGGGACGGCUAAAUACGUGCCAGCAGCCGCAGUAAGAC
Molecule: ribosomal RNA, 516 nt
Filed under: uncultured bacterium
Lineage: Bacteria
Description: bacterial SSU rRNA
Rfam family: Bacterial small subunit ribosomal RNA
Source: RNAcentral